RNAcentral lists this ribosomal RNA (253 nucleotides) under uncultured bacterium. RNAcentral describes it as "partial 16S ribosomal RNA". It matches the Rfam family "Bacterial small subunit ribosomal RNA", at positions 524 to 776 of the family's 1533-position model. The record is from RNAcentral.
UACGAAGGGGGCUAGCGUUGCUCGGAAUCACUGGGCGUAAAGCGCACGUAGGCGGAUUGCUAAGUCAGGGGUGAAAUCCUAGAGCUCAACUCCAGAACUGCCUUUGAUACUGGCGACCUUGAGUCCGGGAGAGGUGAGUGGAACUGCGAGUGUAGAGGUGAAAUUCGUAGAUAUUCGCAAGAACACCAGUGGCGAAGGCGGCUCACUGGCCCGGUACUGACGCUGAGGUGCGAAAGCGUGGGGAGCAAACAGG